CGUCUUCGCCGCGGCAUCAGAUGACGUGGCAGUGCCACUUCAGCUAAUAAAAAAAAUAAAAAACAAAAAAAAUAAAAGAGAGAGGCAAAUAUCAUGGAAUGGAGGGAAAUAGAUUUUGGGAGGGAUAUGCAGAGCGAAACCAGAGAGAGGGAGAUCUGAGCAGAGACGUCGCCCUAGCCAUUGUGCCGUGCGUCUCCGGUCGAUGUCUUUGGUAGUUGUCACCGUCCGGUUGUCUGGGUCGCCGUCGUCACGUACCCGUAACUCUGAGUCGCAGCGGGGUGGGUGAGAUAGAGAUCUGUGGUUGCCAUGAGAGGUGAUUCGGUUCUCCCAACCCAGUCCUCCGCAUAUUCUUGUUUGGGUACUUGACACAAGCAGAGUUCGGGCCUCGUGGGUGGAUCUGUGUCAGGCCAUCAUCUCAGUGAAAAUUAUUCUUGGAGCUUAUAUAUCCUUGCAUAUAUUGACAAUGCAUUUGUCUCAUUCUCAGCAUGGGAAAUGGGAAAGAACAGCCAUCUACGCAAACAUCAUCUAACUCAAAUCCCCCAUCCGUGAUGCACUUUGGGUUUGAUGGAUCACAAUCAUUGCACCAUGGGAUGGACGGAUCACAACCACUGAAAUGAUUUUUGUGGCUUGAAUGGAUUUUUGUUGACUUCAAUGUAUUUUUUGUGGACUUUAAUGUAUUUUUGUGGACUUUAAUGUAUUUGUUUGUGGAUUGAAUGUAAUCUAGGGAUUUUUUAUUUUUGUAGAUUUAAUGUAUUUUUAUGGACUUUAAUAUAUUUGUUUUGUAGAUUUAAUGUAUUUAUGUGGCUUGAAUGUAAUCCAAAGAUUUUUUUGUAGAUUUAAUGUAUUUUUGUGGCUUGAAUGUAAUAUAGGGAUUUUUUGUGGAUUU
This is a long non-coding RNA of Carya illinoinensis, 886 nucleotides long. RefSeq lists it as uncharacterized. Lineage: Eukaryota; Viridiplantae; Streptophyta; Magnoliopsida; Fagales; Juglandaceae. The record is from RefSeq and is a predicted model, not a curated record. The transcript has 4 exons.